This 473-nucleotide ribosomal RNA is filed under the name uncultured bacterium. RNAcentral's name for it is "bacterial SSU rRNA". It matches the Rfam family "Bacterial small subunit ribosomal RNA", at positions 335 to 801 of the family's 1533-position model. The record is from RNAcentral.
ACUCCUACGGGAGGCAGCAGUAGGGAAUCUUCCACAAUGGGCGCAAGCCUGAUGGAGCAACACCGCGUGAGUGAAGAAGGGUUUCGGCUCGUAAAGCUCUGUUGUUAAAGAAGAACACGUAUGAGAGUAACUGUUCAUACGUUGACGGUAUUUAACCAGAAAGUCACGGCUAACUACGUGCCAGCAGCCGCGGUAAUACGUAGGUGGCAAGCGUUAUCCGGAUUUAUUGGGCGUAAAGAGAGUGCAGGCGGUUCUCUAAGUCUGAUGUGAAAGCCUUCGGCUUAACCGGAGAAGUGCAUCGGAAACUGGAUAACUUGAGUGCAGAAGAGGGUAGUGGAACUCCAUGUGUAGCGGUGGAAUGCGUAGAUAUAUGGAAGAAUACCAGUGGCGAAGGCGGCUACCUGGUCUGCAACUGACGCUGAGGCUCGAAAGCAUGGGUAGCGAACAGGAUUAGAUACCCUGGUAGGAUAGCG